RNAcentral lists this long non-coding RNA (816 nucleotides) under Phasianus colchicus (ring-necked pheasant). RNAcentral describes it as "lncRNA (ENSPCLG00000001770.1)". The record is from RNAcentral. Lineage: Eukaryota; Metazoa; Chordata; Aves; Galliformes; Phasianidae.
AAACAAGACUGGUCACACAAUGAGGAUGGCAAUAUCUUAUUCAGAAAUAACAAACCGAGAACAACUUGAUAUAUAUAGACUAAACCUUGAUCUACUAGUUCUUUUUUCCUACAAUCUGUUUCUGUAAAAAACAUUAAUCUUAGCAACUUCCAGUCCCUGAGGACAGCUACUGCCAUUCCUGUAACAUCAUCUGUAGGAAAUAACCAUCAGCAAUACUGUCCAUCUGCAACAGAGACACACUUGGUCCUACCUAGUCAAGGACACAGAGAGAAGAUGCAUUUGUUUAAUAAAGGACAAGGCUACAACACGCUGUAGUUACUUGAACGGAAGAACUGAUCUAAAAGGGAACAGAGCCCUUGAAGAACUUACAAGAGAACUUACUGUCUGUGGCAGAAAUCAACAUGGAAAAUCUGUUAAAAAAAAAAAAAAAAAAAGUAUAUCAGUUAUCAAAGGGGAGAGAAAUCCAUGAAGGGUUCAUUAGUAUCUGGAUUUUUGACCACUGCAAACAAUGAACAAACAUAAGUUCAAAGGCACUACCUUUACAGGGAUAGCAACAUUCUCAUUUCUGAGAUAAGCAAACCUGAUAGUCAUCUUAAAGUGGGCAAUUAUGAAUAUACUUCCAACAGUUUGAAAAAUUGGUACUAUAUUCUUGAGAUGUUUCAGUAUGAUCGGUCUUUCCUGAGCAGGUUUCAACUGAAGACACAUUGUGAACACUUUUAAUGACUCCAGGAUUACAGAUUCAAAUCCCAAAAGGAAAGACAAAAAGAAGAGAGGGGAAAAAAUAAAUUAAUAAAGAGAGAAAGAAUAAGAAAAGAA